GUACACGCUGUGACUAGCAUAUCAAUAAGCGGAGGAAAAGAAACUAACAAGGAUUCCCCUAGUAACGGCGAGUGAAGCGGGAAGAGCUCAAAUUUGAAAUCUUAAAGGGUUUCCCUUUACGAAUUGUAGUUUAAAGAAGUGUUUUCUGUUGAGGUUUUGGUAAAAGUUCUUUGGAAUAGGACAUCAUAGAGGGUGAGAAUCCCGUAUUUGACCUUUACUUUCAACUUUGUGAUACACUUUCAAAGAGUCGGAUUGUUUGGGAAUGCAGUCCAAAAUGGGUGGUAAAUUUCAUCUAAAGCUAAAUAUUGGCGAGAGACCGAUAGCGAACAAGUACCGUGAGGGAAAGAUGAAAAGAACUUUGAAAAGAGAGUUAAACAGUACGUGAAAUUGUCAAAAGGGAAGCAGUUUGACACCAGUGUUGUUUUUCUGAAAAUCAAUUAAAGAACUGUUUAUGCUAAGUUGUUUAGACUUUAUCAGCUAACUGUUUAGUUUUGAGCUUUUCUUUAAUGCACUUUUCAGUUAACAAGUCAACAUCAAUUUCUUUUGCUGUAAAAAAGCUUGAGGAAGGUGGCUUGAGAUUCGUCUUAAGUGUUUAUAGCCUCUUGCCUAUGCAGUCGGAGAGAUUGAGGUCUGCAGCGUAGAUCCUUCGGGGCUAAAUGCAUUUGUGCUAAGUUAUAGCAUUUCAUAGACAACUUGUUGACUAUGAUUUGUCUUGUAGCUUACUCGCUUAUGUUAUUUUACCUACGCUUAGGAUGUUGACGCGCGUGUGUGCGU
RNAcentral lists this ribosomal RNA (774 nucleotides) under uncultured Neocallimastigales. RNAcentral describes it as "partial large subunit ribosomal RNA". It matches the Rfam family "Eukaryotic large subunit ribosomal RNA", at positions 22 to 642 of the family's 3401-position model. The record is from RNAcentral. Lineage: Eukaryota; Fungi; Neocallimastigomycota; Neocallimastigomycetes; Neocallimastigales.